Molecule: ribosomal RNA, 676 nt
Filed under: uncultured bacterium
Lineage: Bacteria
Description: bacterial SSU rRNA
Rfam family: Bacterial small subunit ribosomal RNA
Source: RNAcentral
GAUUAACGCUGGCGGCGUGCCUGACACAUGCAAGUCGAACGGGUGCUAACUGCCCGCAAGGGUGGUUAGCGCUAGUGGCGGACGGGUGAGUAACACGUGGGCAACCUGCCUGAGAGUGCAGAAUAACCCUGCGAAAGCAGAGCUAAUACUGCAUGUGGUUGUCGGAUGGCAUCAUCUGACAACUAAAGUCGCAAGACGCUCUCAGAUGGGCCCGCGGCCUAUUAGCUAGUUGGUGAGGUAACGGCCCACCAAGGCUGUGAUGGGUAGCUGGUCUGAGAGGACGGACAGCCACACUGGGACUGAGACACGGCCCAGACUCCUACGGGAGGCAGCAGUGAGGAAUUUUCCGCAAUGGGCGAAAGCCUGACGGAGCAACGCCGCGUGAGGGAUGAAGUCUCUAGGGAUGUAAACCUCUGUUGGGUGGGACGAAGAUCUGACGGUACCACCUGAGGAAGCCCCGGCUAACUACGUGCCAGCAGCCGCGGUAAUACGUAGGGGGCGAGCGUUAUCCGGAUUUACUGGGCGUAAAGAGCGCGUAGGCGGUCCCGUAAGUUGGUUGUGAAAGUUCGAGGCUCAACCUCGAAACUGCGUCCAAUACUGCGGGGCUGGAGUGCAAGAGAGGCAAGUGGAAUUUGCGGUGUAGUAGUGAAAUGCGUAGAUAUCGCAAGGAACACCA